GACGAACGCUGGCGGCGUGCCUAAUACAUGCAAGUAGGACGCAGUUGCGAACGGGUGAGUAACGCAUCGGUAACUACCUAUUAGAGGGGGAUAACUAUUGGAAACUAUAGCUACUACCGCAUAUUAGACUAUGGAACUGAGUUGUAUUAGCUAGUAGGUAGGGUAAAGGCCCACCUAGGCAACGAGACAUAGCCGACCGGAGAGGGUGAUCGGCCACACUGGGACUGAGACACGGCCCAGACUCCUACGGGAGGCAGCAGUAGGGAAUCUUCGGCAAUGGGGGGAACCCUGACCGAGCAACGCCGCGUGAGUGAAGAAGGUUUUCGGAUCGUAAAGCUCUGUUGUUAAGGAAGCGGUACUUAACCAGAAAGGGACGGCUAACUACGUGCCAGCAGCCGCGGUAAUAC
Molecule: ribosomal RNA, 407 nt
Filed under: uncultured bacterium
Lineage: Bacteria
Description: partial 16S ribosomal RNA
Rfam family: Bacterial small subunit ribosomal RNA
Source: RNAcentral